RNAcentral lists this antisense RNA (75 nucleotides) under Streptomyces sp. XY152. Its description in RNAcentral is "ASpks sRNA". It matches the Rfam family "ASpks TB sRNA". The record is from RNAcentral. Lineage: Bacteria; Bacillati; Actinomycetota; Actinomycetes; Kitasatosporales; Streptomycetaceae.
CUUCAGCGAGCCGAGCAGCAGCGGCCGGUCGGCGGGCCGGUCCUGGCCGUAGGUGGCGAGGAUGGCCUGCGCCUC